This 432-nucleotide ribosomal RNA is filed under the name uncultured bacterium. Its description in RNAcentral is "partial 16S ribosomal RNA". It matches the Rfam family "Bacterial small subunit ribosomal RNA", at positions 29 to 507 of the family's 1533-position model. The record is from RNAcentral.
ACGCACGCUGGCGGCAGGCCUAACCCAUGCAAGUCGAGCGAGGACUUCGGUUCUAGCGGCGGACGGGUGAGUAACGCGUGGGAAUGUGCCCUUCUCUACGGAAUAGCCCUGGGAAACUGGGAGUAAUACCGUAUACGCCCUAUUGGGGAAAGAUUUAUCGGAGAAGGAUCAGCCCGCGUUGGAUUAGGUAGUUGGUGGGGUAAUGGCCUACCAAGCCGACGAUCCAUAGCUGGUUUGAGAGGAUGAUCAGCCACACUGGGACUGAGACACGGCCCAGACUCCUACGGGAGGCAGCAGUGGGGAAUCUUAGACAAUGGGGGCAACCCUGAUCUAGCCAUGCCGCGUGAGUGAUGAAGGCCUUAGGGUUGUAAAGCUCUUUCAGCUGGGAAGAUAAUGACGGUACCAGCAGAAGAAGCCCCGGCUAACUCCGUG